ACGUGGCACACGGCUCAGUAACACGUAGUCAACAUAACCAGAGGACGUGGAUAAACUCGGGAAACUGAGGCUAAACCGCGAUAGACCAAGAUACCUGGAAUGGUUUUUGAUCAAAAUCUAUAUGGCCUUUGGAUUGGACUGCGACCGAUCAGGCUGUUGGUGAGGUAAUGGCCCACCAAACCUGUAACCGGUACGGGCUCUGAGAGGAGGAGCCCGGAGAUGGGUACUGAGAAAAGGACCCAGGCCCUAUGGGGCGCAGCAGGCGCGGAACCUCUGCAAUAGGCGAAAGCCUGACAGGGUUAUUCUGAGUGACUUUCGCUAAGAAAGUCUUUUGACAUCUCUAAAAAUGGUGUAGAAUAAGGGGUGGGCAAGUCUGGUGUCAGCCGCCGCGGUAAUACCAGCACCCCGAGUGGUCGGGACGAUUAUUGGGCCUAAAGCAUCCGUAGCCGGUUUUACAAGUCCUCCGUUAAAUCCAACUGCUUAACAGAUGGGCCGCGGAGGAUACUAUAAGACUAGGAGGCAGGAGAGGCAAGCGGUACUCAGUGGGUAGGGGUAAAAUCCGUUGAUCCAUUGAAGACCACCAGUGGCGAAGGCGGCUUGCCAGAAUGCGCUCGACGGUGAGGGAUGAAAGCUGGGGGAGCAAACCGGAUUAGAUACCCGGGUAGUCCCAGCUGUAAACGAUGCAGACUCGGUGAUGGACUAGCUUAAUGCUAGUCCAGUGCCGCAGGGAAGCCGUUAAGUCUGCCGCCUGGGUAGUACGGUCGCAAGACUGAAACUUAAAGGAAUUGGCGGGGGAGCACCACAAGGGGUGAAGCCUGCGGUUCAAUUGGAUUCAACGCCGGG
This 843-nucleotide ribosomal RNA is filed under the name uncultured archaeon. RNAcentral describes it as "bacterial SSU rRNA". It matches the Rfam family "Archaeal small subunit ribosomal RNA", at positions 76 to 922 of the family's 1478-position model. The record is from RNAcentral.